CCUACGGGAGGCAGCAGUGGGGGAUAUUGCACAAUGGGGGAAACCCUGAUGCAGCAACGCCGCGUGUGGGAAGAAGGCUUUCGGAUCGUAAACCACUGUUCUUGGUGAAGAUAAUGACGGUAACCAAGGAGAAAGAUCCGGCUAACUACGUGCUAGCAGCCGCGGUAAUACGUAGGGAGCAAGCGUUGUACGGAUUUACUGGGUGUAAAGGGUGCGUAGGCGGUUUUGCAAGUCAGACGUGAAAACCACAGGCUCAACCUGUGGACUGCGAUUGAAACUGUGAGGCUUGAGUGAAGUAGAGGUAGGCGGAAUUCCCGGUGUAGCGGUGAAAUGCGUAGAGAUCGGGAGGAACACCGGUAGCGAAGGCGGCCUACUGGGCUUUAACUGACGCUGAGGUGCGAAAGCAUGGGUAGCAAACAGGAUUAGAUACCCGAGUAGUC
Molecule: ribosomal RNA, 440 nt
Filed under: uncultured bacterium
Lineage: Bacteria
Description: partial 16S ribosomal RNA
Rfam family: Bacterial small subunit ribosomal RNA
Source: RNAcentral